GGAUUAGCUCAGCUUGGCUAGAGCGUCGAGCUAAUAACUCGAAGGUCGGGAGUUCGAGCCUCUCAUUC
RNAcentral lists this transfer RNA (68 nucleotides) under Thraustochytrium sp. LLF1b. It matches the Rfam family "tRNA". Rfam says of the family: Transfer RNA (tRNA) molecules are approximately 80 nucleotides in length. Their secondary structure includes four short double-helical elements and three loops (D, anti-codon, and T loops). Lineage: Eukaryota; Bigyra; Thraustochytrida; Thraustochytriidae. The record is from RNAcentral.